Molecule: long non-coding RNA, 1634 nt
Filed under: Homo sapiens (human)
Lineage: Eukaryota; Metazoa; Chordata; Mammalia; Primates; Hominidae
Description: HSALNT0365284
Source: RNAcentral
CUGAACUCACAGUGGCAACCAGCUUGGGUCUGCUCCCACGCUGUUGGGGCGGGGGCGGGGGGGGGGUUGUUCUUUUGCUCCUUGGGUCCACACUGCGUUUAUGAGCUGUAAUAUUCACCGCAAAGGUCUGCAGCUUCACUACUAAGCCAACGAGACCACAAACCCACCAGGAGGAACGACAAUUCCAGACGCGUGGCUUUAACAGCUGUUAACACUCACCGCGAAGGUCUGUAGCUUCAUUUCUGAGUCAGCGAGACCACGAACCCACCAGAAAGAAGAAACUCCGAACACACCCGAACCUCAGAAGGAACAAAUUCCGGACACGCCGCCUUUAAGAACUGUAACACUCACCACAAGGGUCCGCGGCUUCAUUCUUGAAGUCAGUGAGACCAAGAACCCACUAAUUCCGGACACACUUUGACCAGCAGAGCAGGCAGAAGUAAAGCCACGGUUCACAGAAGUGACCUGGGAGAAGCAGCAGCCCCGGGAGAGGCUUAACUAGCAGAGCACUGAGGCCCACCGACAGCCAUGUGCAUGAGCUUGGAAGCACAUCUCCCCAACCCACCCCAGUCAAGCCUGCAGAUGAGACCUCAGCUGCAGCUGACAACUCGGCUACAACUUUGUGAGAGACCUGGAGCCAAAAGCACCUAGCUAAGCUGUGCCUGUAUUUCUGACCCACAGAAACUCUGAGAUUGUUCCAGCUUUUGCCAGUGGAAGCCCCUCCAAGAUGGAGAAGCUCUACUUUAAAUUCCAGGCCCCUAAGGAAAGGUUUGCAAGAGGGCUCUCUCCAGCCAUCCACCCCCACCACCCUUAGAAACUCCUGCUACACACCAUGGAUGGGGAAGUGAAGGGAAAGGAGAUCAUCUGGCACAUGCCUCGUUGGAGAUCACUAAAGAUGCAGAUUUGUAAAUCAACAGCAAAUAGGCAGUGGCUGCAGCUCUGGAGUUGAAUGGGAUCACCCAAGAAGAGACAAAUAGAGGCAGAAGAAAGCUCCAAGGAUGAGAAAUUGGGAAACAACAAUAUUUAAGCUGGGGAAAAAUUUUAAAAGCAGGAGUGAUCUAAGAAACUGAGCAGGAGCCGGCCAAGAGACAGGAAGACAAAUGAGAACGAGUGUUUCUAAGGAAAUCUGAGGAGAGGAGAGCUUCACAAAACGUCACGUAGGAUGAAGACUGAAAAGAGGCCAUUGAUUUGCCAAUGUGAAGGUCAUUGGUGACCAGGGUAAGAACAGAAGAAUAUUAGGAUGAAUAGGCAAGAAAGAAUUUGAUAGCACAUUUGAUUCUAUGGGCAAGGAAGGAGGUAGCCAUGGAAGGUUUUUGAGUGUGGAAGCCUCAUGAUGACAGCAAAAUGUGAGGAAGAGUCAUGUGGGCAUUUGCAUGAAAAGUAGACCAGAGGAUCCAGAGUCUAGAGUCUGAAGUCCCCCUAGGGUGUCAACCCAGGAAAUGGCCUCAAACAAAGCAUAUGGCUUAGGAGAAAUGGAAAUGACCCAGUGACAAAUUGAUAUGGAGACCUAUCAAAAAAGAUUGACUCCAAGGUUUUGGGUGCUGGUAGCUGAGAGGAUGGGAAUGCCAUUGAAACCAUUGUUCCAGGAGGUUUUGAUGGGGAAAUGGGAUGCCUGGUGGACCUGCCCAGGAAUG